Molecule: ribosomal RNA, 253 nt
Filed under: uncultured bacterium
Lineage: Bacteria
Description: partial 16S ribosomal RNA
Rfam family: Bacterial small subunit ribosomal RNA
Source: RNAcentral
UACGUAGGGUGCGAGCGUUAAUCGGAAUUACUGGGCGUAAAGCGUGCGCAGGCGGUUCUGAAAGUCAGCUGUGAAAGCCCCGGGCUUAACCUGGGAAUGGCGGUUGAAACUACAGGACUAGAAUCUGGCAGAGGGGGGUGGAAUUCCACGUGUAGCAGUGAAAUGCGUAGAUAUCAGUCGGAACACCGGUGGCGAAGGCGGCUUCUUGGGCCAUUUCUGACGCUGAGGCGCGAAAGCUAGGGGAGCGAACGGG